Molecule: ribosomal RNA, 263 nt
Filed under: uncultured bacterium
Lineage: Bacteria
Description: partial 16S ribosomal RNA
Rfam family: Bacterial small subunit ribosomal RNA
Source: RNAcentral
AACGAACGCUGGCGGCAGGCCUAACACAUGCAAGUCGAACGCCCUAGCAAUAGGGAGUGGCAGACGGGUGAGUAACACGUGGGAACGUGCCUUUCGGUUCGGAAUAACCCAGGGAAACUUAGGACUAAUACCGGAUACGUGCGAGAGCAGAAAGAUUUAUCGCCGAAAGAUCGGCCCGCGUCCGAUUAGCUAGUUGGUGAGGUAACGGCUCACCAAGGCGACGAUCGGUAGCUGGCUGAGAGAUGAUCAGCCACACUGGGACU